Molecule: ribosomal RNA, 557 nt
Filed under: uncultured bacterium
Lineage: Bacteria
Description: bacterial SSU rRNA
Rfam family: Bacterial small subunit ribosomal RNA
Source: RNAcentral
GGGCCCGCACAAGCGGUGGAGCAUGUGGUUUAAUUCGAUGCAACGCGAAGAACCUUACCUACUCUUGACAUCCAGAGAAUUUAGCAGAGAUGCUUUAGUGCCUUCGGGAACUCUGAGACAGGUGCUGCAUGGCUGUCGUCAGCUCGUGUUGUGAAAUGUUGGGUUAAGUCCCGCAACGAGCGCAACCCUUAUCCUUUGUUGCCAGCGAUUCGGUCGGGAACUCAAAGGAGACUGCCGGUGAUAAACCGGAGGAAGGUGGGGAUGACGUCAAGUCAUCAUGGCCCUUACGAGUAGGGCUACACACGUGCUACAAUGGCGUAUACAAAGAGAAGCGACCUCGCGAGAGCAAGCGGAACUCAUAAAGUACGUCGUAGUCCGGAUUGGAGUCUGCAACUCGACUCCAUGAAGUCGGAAUCGCUAGUAAUCGUAGAUCAGAAUGCUACGGUGAAUACGUUCCCGGGCCUUGUACACACCGCCCGUCACACCAUGGGAGUGGGUUGCAAAAGAAGUAGGUAGCUUAACCUUCGGGAGGGCGCUUACCACUUUGUGAUUCAUGA